RNAcentral lists this ribosomal RNA (424 nucleotides) under Nannengaella plicata. RNAcentral describes it as "SSU rRNA". It matches the Rfam family "Eukaryotic small subunit ribosomal RNA", at positions 1230 to 1644 of the family's 1831-position model. Lineage: Eukaryota; Evosea; Eumycetozoa; Physariida; Physaraceae. RNAcentral also lists the same sequence under 1 other name. The record is from RNAcentral.
ACACGCAUGAAAGUCAAGCUGAAAGACUUUACUCAAUGAUGUAAGUGGUGGUGCAUGGUCGUUCUUAGUUCGUGGAUUGAUUUGUCUGGUCGAUUCCGAUAACGAGCGAGACCCCGGUGUUCCUAAUAGGGGCGGCAGCCCGUCCGGUCGCAAGGCCGGUCAGCUACCGCCUAAGAUGUACUUCUUAGACACAUCAAGGCCGAUAAGGUCUUUGAAAUGGGUUAAUAACAGGUCAGUCAUGCCCUUAGAUGUUCUGGGCCGCACGCGCGUUACAAUGGCACGUAUAAACAGUGCUAUCACAGGCGUUUCCCGGGCCUAACGGUCCGGGUAACCCUUAAUCCCUGCUUUGACUGGGAUAGAUCCUUGCAAUUAUUGGUCUCUAACGAGGAAUUUUUAGUAAGCGCAGGUCAUUAACCUGUGCUGA